RNAcentral lists this non-coding RNA (21 nucleotides) under Caenorhabditis elegans. The record is from RNAcentral. Lineage: Eukaryota; Metazoa; Nematoda; Chromadorea; Rhabditida; Rhabditidae.
UUUUAAUGAAAAAAAAAGACU